RNAcentral lists this ribosomal RNA (610 nucleotides) under uncultured Gammaproteobacteria bacterium. RNAcentral describes it as "bacterial SSU rRNA". It matches the Rfam family "Bacterial small subunit ribosomal RNA", at positions 8 to 607 of the family's 1533-position model. The record is from RNAcentral. Lineage: Bacteria; Pseudomonadati; Pseudomonadota; Gammaproteobacteria.
AGAGUUUGAUCAUGGCUCAGAUUGAACGCUGGCGGCAGGCCUAACACAUGCAAGUCGAGCGGCAGCACAAGGGAGUUUACUCCUGAGGUGGCGAGCGGCGGACGGGUGAGUAAUGCCUAGGGAUCUGCCCAGUCGAGGGGGAUAACAGUUGGAAACGACUGCUAAUACCGCAUACGCCCUACGGGGGAAAGAGGGGGACUUUCGGGCCUCUCGCGAUUGGAUGAACCUAGGUGGGAUUAGCUAGUUGGUGAGGUAAUGGCUCACCAAGGCGACGAUCCCUAGCUGCUCUGAGAGGAUGAUCAGCCACACUGGGACUGAGACACGGCCCAGACUCCUACGGGAGGCAGCAGUGGGGAAUAUUGCACAAUGGGGGAAACCCUGAUGCAGCCAUGCCGCGUGUGUGAAGAAGGCCUUCGGGUUGUAAAGCACUUUCAGUAGGGAGGAAAGGUUGUAAGUUAAUACCUUGCAGCUGUGACGUUACCUACAGAAGAAGGACCGGCUAACUCCGUGCCAGCAGCCGCGGUAAUACGGAGGGUCCAAGCGUUAAUCGGAAUUACUGGGCGUAAAGCGUGCGCAGGCGGUUUGUUAAGCGAGAUGUGAAAGCCCCGGG